This 444-nucleotide ribosomal RNA is filed under the name uncultured bacterium. RNAcentral's name for it is "bacterial SSU rRNA". It matches the Rfam family "Bacterial small subunit ribosomal RNA", at positions 330 to 792 of the family's 1533-position model. The record is from RNAcentral.
UCCAGACUCCUACGGGAGGCAGCAGUAGGGAAUUUUGCGCAAUGGGCGAAAGCCUGACGCAGCAACGCCGCGUGAUCGAGACGCCCUUCGGGGUGUAAAGAUCUGUCAGUGGGGACGAAACUUGACGGUACCCACAGAGGAAGCACCGGCUAACUCCGUGCCAGCAGCCGCGGUAAUACGGAGGAUGCGAGCGUUAUCCGGAUUUAUUGGGUUUAAAGGGUGCGCAGGCGGCGAGUUAAGUCAGCGGUAAAUUUUGGGGGCUCACCCCCGACAAGCCGUUGAAACUGGCUUGCUAGAGUGGGCGAGAAGUAUGCGGAAUGCGUGGUGUAGCGGUGAAAUGCAUAGAUAUCACGCAGAACUCCGAUUGCGAAGGCAGCAUACCGGCGCCCAACUGACGCUCAGGCACGAAAGCGUGGGUAUCGAACAGGAUUAGAUACCCGUGUA